Molecule: small nuclear RNA, 155 nt
Organism: Cricetulus griseus (Chinese hamster)
Lineage: Eukaryota; Metazoa; Chordata; Mammalia; Rodentia; Cricetidae
Gene: U1
Rfam family: U1 spliceosomal RNA
About the family: U1 is a small nuclear RNA (snRNA) component of the spliceosome (involved in pre-mRNA splicing). Its 5' end forms complementary base pairs with the 5' splice junction, thus defining the 5' donor site of an intron.
Source: Ensembl
AUACUUACCUGGCAGGGGAGAUAAUAUGAUCACAAAAGCAGCUUUCCUAGAGUGAGGCCUAGUCAUUGGAUUCUGGAUCCUGACAAUUUCCCACAAUGUGGGAAACUCAACUGCAUAAUUUGUGGUAUGAGGGGCCAAUUACAUUCUUUCUCCUG